Molecule: transfer RNA, 96 nt
Filed under: Actinomycetes bacterium
Lineage: Bacteria; Bacillati; Actinomycetota; Actinomycetes
Also listed under: 2 other names
Description: tRNA-Sec
Rfam family: Selenocysteine transfer RNA
Source: RNAcentral
GGAGGUGUCUGAGCGCCUGGUGGGCUCCCCCGCCUUCAAAGCGGGUGUACGGGGUGAUCCCUCGUAGGCGGGUUCGAUUCCCGUCCACCUCCGCCA